AUUUUUGUCUGAACGACAAGUGGAAGAAGGUUCUGUACUUAGCACAGCCCGCGCCUACGGUCAUUACCGCCUCCAGGAACAGGACGCCCACUGAGUAACUGCCCUGAACCGUCCGGAACCCAGAGGAGAGGGCUGGGAACACAGAGGUUUAAACAGAGAAAGCUCUAGAAAGAAAUGCAUUCCAAGGCCACAGGCUAUUUAUAACGUGAGCAGAUGGCGCCCCCUAGUGUUGGGAUGACCCUCAGCAGCCGGAGCUGGACUGAGCUCGGGCGUGACCUUGAGCGCUGGGAAGCAUUGUCCACGACAGCCAGGACUCAGAAACAACAUAAAUAUGCUUCGGGGGACAAAGGGGGGUGAAGAAAAUUGGCGCACACACACACAACAGAUGGAAUGCCUCUUCCGAUGACCUGGACGGAUCACUAAAUGAAAUAAUAGAUCAGAUGGACAAGGAAGGAACCAUACGAUUUCACUUGCAUGUGGGGCGGAAAACUGAAAGCAGCAAAUAAAAACACAAACUCACAGCUGGUCCCCCGGGACAGUUUGCCUCUGGGAUCCAGCCUGUCCUCUCCGCGCUUUGCCUGCAGCGAGAUUUCAGCAGGUGCCUGAAGCCCCUCCUGUGCUCCUCUGAUCGUCCAAACCACCCAGAGGUUUUGUGAUUCGGUUUCACAUAGAGUGGAAGGUCUAUGAAGGCAAGCACCUUGUCUUGCACCUGCUGUAUCUUC
Long non-coding RNA from Artibeus jamaicensis (Jamaican fruit-eating bat), 722 nucleotides. RefSeq lists it as uncharacterized. The record is from RefSeq and is a predicted model, not a curated record. Lineage: Eukaryota; Metazoa; Chordata; Mammalia; Chiroptera; Phyllostomidae. The transcript has 5 exons.